Molecule: long non-coding RNA, 693 nt
Organism: Alosa sapidissima (American shad)
Lineage: Eukaryota; Metazoa; Chordata; Actinopteri; Clupeiformes; Clupeidae
Exons: 2
Source: RefSeq, a predicted model, not a curated record
AUACACUUUAGGUCAAUAUCACACCGGAAUUCUCCUUUAAUGCCGAAGAAUUUGAAGGCUAUUUAUUUGAGCCAGAAUAUUCUGCAGAUGAAAUAAGGCAACGGAGGGAACAACAGCAGGCAGCUCUGGAUAGUAGCAGUAACGUUAACGCCAUCGUUGCAGCUGACCGUCCUCGAGUUGACAGCAGUUGGUGGUGCUCUUGUCAACAUUGCCCACCACAACCAACAGAAGUGGAGCCACUUUGUUGUCAGGAGUGGGACCGCGGUCAGUUUUUGCUGAGAGAGGCAGAUGAGAUGGGGGACGCAUCCGAGCUGUCCUGCCUAACCCAACACAGCAGCUUUUGUGCUCAUCUGGACAGAGGGGUCCUGGAAACGUUUUUCCACUUCAUUAAUUGGAGGAAAAAGAGAAGAUCACAGGGCCCAGGAGGACAAAUGUCAAACAGACAAUUUCGUUUGGUUGGCUAUCGUAUCCUUCUGGAAUGGGUGCUAAGAGGCGAGCGUUUGGGGAAGCACAACCGAGCAGUACUCCCCGCCUGCCUCGUUGAUGUUGUAAGGCAGCGGUAUGCGUCCCCUGACGGCCAAUACACUGGGUUCCUCGAGGUGAGAGAGGCAGCAGAAGGAAUCGAGUAGACUACUACUCAACAAAUGUAAAUAGUUCUGGGUGCUCUUAAUAAACAUUUAUUUUGUUCUUCGA